UACGUAGGGUGCAAGCGUUGUCCGGAAUGAUUGGGCGUAAAGCGUCCGCAGGUGGCUGUGUAAGUCUGCUGUUAAAUAGUGAGGCUCAACCUCAUAAAGGCAGUGGAAACUACACGGCUAGAGUGCGUUCGGGGCAGAGGGAAUUCCUGGUGUAGCGGUGAAAUGCGUAGAGAUCAGGAAGAACACCGGUGGCGAAAGCGCUCUGCUAGGCCGCAACUGACACUGAGGGACGAAAGCUAGGGGAGCGAAUGGG
Molecule: ribosomal RNA, 253 nt
Filed under: uncultured bacterium
Lineage: Bacteria
Description: partial 16S ribosomal RNA
Rfam family: Bacterial small subunit ribosomal RNA
Source: RNAcentral